RNAcentral lists this ribosomal RNA (253 nucleotides) under uncultured bacterium. Its description in RNAcentral is "partial 16S ribosomal RNA". It matches the Rfam family "Bacterial small subunit ribosomal RNA", at positions 524 to 776 of the family's 1533-position model. The record is from RNAcentral.
UACGGGGGGGGCAAGCGUUGUUCGGAAUUACUGGGCGUAAAGGGCGCGUAGGCGGCCUUCUAAGUCGGACGUGAAAUCCCUCGGCUUAACCGGGGAACUGCGUCUGAUACUGGAUGGCUAGAGGUUGGGAGAGGGAUGCGGAAUUCCAGGUGUAGCGGUGAAAUGCGUAGAUAUCUGGAGGAACACCGGUGGCGAAGGCGGCAUCCUGGACCAAUUCUGACGCUGAGGAGCGAAAGCCAGGGGAGCAAACGGG